This 253-nucleotide ribosomal RNA is filed under the name uncultured bacterium. RNAcentral's name for it is "partial 16S ribosomal RNA". It matches the Rfam family "Bacterial small subunit ribosomal RNA", at positions 524 to 776 of the family's 1533-position model. The record is from RNAcentral.
UACGGGGGGGGCAAGCGUUGUUCGGAAUUACUGGGCGUAAAGGGCUCGUAGGCGGCCAACUAAGUCCGACGUGAAAUCCCCAGGCUUAACCUGGGAACUGCGUCGGAUACUGGUUGGCUUGAAUCCGGGAGAGGGAUGCGGAAUUCCAGGUGUAGCGGUGAAAUGCGUAGAUAUCAGGAGGAACACCGGUGGCGAAGGCGGGUCUCUGGGCCGAUACUGACGCUGAGGAGCGAAAGCGUGGGGAGCGAACAGG